UACGUAGGGAGCAAGCGUUGUCCGGAAUCAUUGGGCGUAAAGCGCGCGUAGGCGGCCUCAUAAGUCCGUUGUGAAAGUCAAAGGCUCAACCUUUGAAAGCCGAUGGAUACUGUGAGGCUAGAGUCCGGAAGAGGCGAGUGGAAUUCCUGGUGUAGCGGUGGAAUGCGCAGAUAUCAGGAGGAACACCAAUGGCGAAGGCAGCUCGCUGGGACGGUACUGACGCUGAGGCGCGAAAGCGUGGGGAGCAAACAGG
Molecule: ribosomal RNA, 253 nt
Filed under: uncultured bacterium
Lineage: Bacteria
Description: partial 16S ribosomal RNA
Rfam family: Bacterial small subunit ribosomal RNA
Source: RNAcentral